AUGAACGCUGGCGGCGUGGAUAAGGCAUGCAAGUCGAACGGUUUUCUUUAUUGAAGAAGAUGCGAUUACAUCAAAUUAACAGAUAUUUUGAAAACAGUGGCGAACGAGCUAGUAACACCUUGGUACGUACCCGAAAGUUUGGUAUAGCUCGCCGAAAGGCGGGGCAAUCCCAAAUAGUCCCUUCAUCUAUCGGAUGAUAGGGUAAAGUAGCAAUACGCUUUCGGAUCGGCCUAGGUCCGAUCAGUUAGUUGGUGAGGUAAUGGCUCACCAAGACAAUGACCGGUAGGGG
This 289-nucleotide ribosomal RNA is filed under the name uncultured bacterium. RNAcentral describes it as "partial 16S ribosomal RNA". It matches the Rfam family "Bacterial small subunit ribosomal RNA", at positions 29 to 289 of the family's 1533-position model. The record is from RNAcentral.